GAUGAACGCUAGCUACAGGCUUAACACAUGCAAGUCGAGGGGAAACGAUAUUGGAAGCUUGCUUCUGAUAGGCGUCGACCGGCGCACGGGUGAGUAACGCGUAUCCAACCUGCCCAUCACUUGGGGAUAACCUUGCGAAAGUAAGACUAAUACCCAAUGACGUCUCUAGAAGACAUCUGAAAGAGAUUAAAGAUUUAUCGGUGAUGGAUGGGGAUGCGUCUGAUUAGCUUGUUGGCGGGGUAACGGCCCACCAAGGCGACGAUCAGUAGGGGUUCUGAGAGGAAGGUCCCCCACAUUGGAACUGAGACACGGUCCAAACUCCUACGGGAGGCAGCAGUGAGGAAUAUUGGUCAAUGGACGAGAGUCUGAACCAGCCAAGUAGCGUGCAGGAUGACGGCCCUAUGGGUUGUAAACUGCUUUAUAAGGGAAUAAAGUGAGUCUCGUGAGGCUUUUUGCAUGUACCUUAUGAAUAAGGACCGG
RNAcentral lists this ribosomal RNA (480 nucleotides) under uncultured bacterium. RNAcentral's name for it is "bacterial SSU rRNA". It matches the Rfam family "Bacterial small subunit ribosomal RNA", at positions 28 to 496 of the family's 1533-position model. The record is from RNAcentral.